RNAcentral lists this long non-coding RNA (717 nucleotides) under Malus domestica (apple). RNAcentral describes it as "long non-coding RNA (MDOM_LNC001804)". Lineage: Eukaryota; Viridiplantae; Streptophyta; Magnoliopsida; Rosales; Rosaceae. The record is from RNAcentral.
ACCCGUUUGUUUGACCGGAUUAGGGGGGACUGGAUUGGACUAGAUUGUAGUCCCUUGUUUGUUCUGCACCAGGAUUAGGUUUAAUGGGAUUAAAUGGGACUCGCUCGGAUUAAGGGGUUCGCUAGGAGUUCUUAGCCGAGAACCCCAAAUUCGGCCGGACUCGCAAGACCUUCCGCGAGAGAAAACCUCGCUCAUCCUGCGAGAGAGAGAGUUGUCGCCAUCGCUCCCUGCUUGCCUUGCUCCCUCAUCCUCGUCGUCUUCACCCUCAUCUCUGCGUCUUGCUUGCCUUCAUCUGCAUCUUGCUCGCCCUUAUCUGCUCUUCUUGCCUGGUAAACUUCGAAUCUUCGAUUUAUUUCUUCAAUUUGUUUUGCAGAUCGUGAUAUUACUAAGCUUUAUUUGAUUUAAUUGUUUUGGGUUUGAGAAAUUUUCAAUAAUAUACCUCUAUAGUUGAACAAAUUAGAGUUUUGAUUUUUAGGGUCAAAUUGCAGAUCCUGCUCGCCCUGCUCCUCCACCUUCUUCUCAGGCGACCUCUCAGGAACACUCCAACCAAAUCGCCUCCUCCUCCCCCUGUUCGAUCCCAGUCAAAGUAACCCUCUCUCUCUCUGUCUCUCACUCUUACUCUGGUUCUUUUGAAUUUGCAGUAAUGUGUGUGUGUGUGUGUAUGUAUGCAGUGUGUGUGUGUAUGUAUGCAGUGUGUGUGUGUAUGUAUGUAUGCAG